RNAcentral lists this long non-coding RNA (868 nucleotides) under Medicago truncatula (barrel medic). RNAcentral's name for it is "lncRNA gene42294". The record is from RNAcentral. Lineage: Eukaryota; Viridiplantae; Streptophyta; Magnoliopsida; Fabales; Fabaceae.
UAAAAUAAAAAGAAAUAAAAAACAAAUAAUUGUUUUUCUUUCUCUCUCAAUGAACUCCUCUUUCUCUCACUUCGAGCACCCUUUCUUCUUCCUCUAAGACAACCUCUCCCGCCGCCGCGACCACAACCUCUCACCGGCCGUUUUCUCUCUGACACCACUCGUCCACUGCUCUCUCGCCGAUCUCAGUUCCGUUCAUCGUCCUCCAUUCUCCUCUCACCUCUGUCCUCUGUUCUCCUCACAAUACACUGUUCAUGGUUUAAAAUUUUCCAGAUCUGAGUUGAUGCUUGAUGUACGAACGACAGCGGUGUGGUUGUGUUGGCUGGUGUGAAGUAGAGGGUGGGGCGAAAUGAAGAGUAGGAUUGUCAAUAACAGUUCUGAUGUUUCUUCUUCUCUUUUCUUCUUCUUCAAAUAGAACAGAAAAAAUGGUGAAUUUGAUGAAGCUACCAACUAAUUAACUAUAUGGAGUUCACCAGAAAAUUGCCACUCUUUUGCUACAACUCUCUUCUCUUCUUUAUCUGAAAAAAGUGAACUAAAACAGUUAAGAUGAAUGAAACAUUAAACAAUUUUCAUUUCAUUCAGACAAAAGGUAAAACAACAUUCAUUUUCAAGAGGGAAAGUGUAAGGACAAUUUGAUAGUGACUCUAUCUUGAAAAAUUAUGCCAUGUUGAGUUAAGCAUAUGCCAAAAUAAGAGGCUAGUUGAUUUGGAAAUCACAAAAUGUUUAUUACAGUAACUGUUAAUGAUAGGGAAUGGCAACGGUGGAUGGUGGGAGACGGUGGAGAGAGAAGGCGGUGAGAGGAAAAGGGAAGGAAGGAUUGUCUUACAAAAUUGCCCCUGACUUUUUGUUGUUGGACAAAAUUGCCCCCUAA